UUCGGGAGAUGCUUUGUAAACACAAAGUCGUGGAAUUAGAAAUCACAAAUCAGUGACGCAGCUACUAUAGUUUAGAUUAAAACAGAAUACACUUUAUAGAUAAACACGAACAGAUAAACAGAGGCGGUGACUUCGAUCAAGCGAAAUAAAGAGGGAUUAGGGUUUCUGAAUUUGGGGAAAUCAAUUGGAUCGGUGUGGAUGGUGGGUGGUGUAUGAACGGAGGCCGCGAGUCGGCGGUGGACACGGGAGAAAUCGGCGGCGUCGUGUGGGGAGGGAGGAAGAAGGAUGGAGGCGAUUGUGUUGGUUUGAACAGGGCUGGCUAGAGGAGAGACAGAGGUUGAGGGGUGGUGAUCAGUAGGUGUGUUUAGGUGGGUGUUAUUUCGUGGUUGUAAAUUGAUUUCAUGGUAGGUGUUUAUGACACGGGGCUGAUUUAUUGGGUUGCUGGACAAGAAUGAUUACAGGAGAUGCCCUGUGGUUGACGCGGCGGUGGGCUGCGGUCCAGGCGUCUCGGUUAUGGCCAGACGAGGUGGUGGCCUGGUUGUGGCCGUGUGCUGCAGCAGGUGGUUCGGUUGGUGUCACAACAGAGUUGUGAUAGCAAGGCUGGGAGGAGUGAAGUGAUGACUGAAUUGAUUAGUUAGUCAAUGAGAGUUGCGUGUGUAUAGCUUAGGAACUUGGGGAUGAAAACAUAGAUGUUGGGGGACAGUUGGACGGCUAUGGUGAUAUUUUGAGGGCUCAGCCUUGAGUAUUCGAGAAACAGGGCAGCUGGGGUUUUAGAGUAUAAAAGGAAGGAUGGCAGGAGGUGUACAGGAAAGAAAGUGUGGUGGGUUGAGGUUGCAACAUCAACAACAGAAGUCUAUCGAGGCGCGUGCAUUCAACAAAUUACAAAAGCCAGCGCAUAGUGUUGCAAGUCAAGUUUGGAAUAGUUUGAUAAGGCGAUAUUGUGCCGUGAAAUAGUCCAAUAGAAUGUAGUGAUUUCAGAGUUAGCAGAGUUGAGGCCAGUAUAAAAGCUCGAGUAGAGUGACUGAGUUGUCACCUGUUUCUAUCAAAGGCUUAUAUGCCUUACACAUUAGUAUCUGUUCUAAUAAUUCUCGGGGUGAGCCAGAGUCGAACCCGGGUGUCCCGGGACAACAGAGGAUAAGCCCACCACUGGGCUCUAAUUUAAUUCAAAAGAAAUUAUAUCUUGUGGCUCUUGCCUUUCGCACUAUCUUGCUGAGCAUUUUCGCUCACCCUUGCUAUUAUUUCUAACCCUUUCAGCUAGGGAUUAAGAUGAUCACCGGUGUAAGCUGCGCGUAAGAUUGAUGCUAGGCGAGAAUGCCAGAGAGAUGUCUGUGAAACCAGUUAUGGUUAGAAUUGUUUAAUACAGUUCAGUUGUGAAUAGAUUUAUUUAUUGGUUAUCAGUUAUAAGUUAUUCUUCUAAUCGAAGUUUAGCUGAUAAUGUAGUUUAAGUUGUAAUGAGACUUUAAGGUUUUGGGUUCUGAUUUCGAUGCUGUAACCUAUUAGCGAUCCUGUUUUAGGGGGUCAAAGUGAUUUUGAUCUAAAUCCCUUUUAAAAUGUCCAGAUGUUUUAAAUAUCUGUUUUACCUUUUCCCGCAAAUACAGGUU
Molecule: long non-coding RNA, 1601 nt
Organism: Daucus carota subsp. sativus
Lineage: Eukaryota; Viridiplantae; Streptophyta; Magnoliopsida; Apiales; Apiaceae
Exons: 3
Source: RefSeq, a predicted model, not a curated record